GACGAACGCUGGCGGCGUGCUUAACACAUGCAAGUCGAACAGUGGCGAACGGGUGAGUAACACGUGCGUAACCUGCCCUCCACUUUGGGAUAACUCCGAGACAUCGGGGCUAAUACUGGAUAGUGGGGGAUGGGCUCGCGGCCUAUCGGUUUGUUGGUGAGGUAGUGGUCACCAAGGGGUGACGGGUAGCCGGCCUGAGAGGGGGACCGGCCACACUGGGACUGCGACACGGCCCAGACGCCGACGUGAGGCAGCAGUGGGGAGUAUUGCACAAUGAGCCAAAGCCUGAUGCAGCGACGCCGGGUGGGGGAUGACGUCCUUCGGGUUGUAAACAUCUUUCAGCAAGGAAGCGGUACUUGCAGAAGAAGCGACGGCUAACUACGUGCCAGCAGCCGCGGUAAUAC
RNAcentral lists this ribosomal RNA (404 nucleotides) under uncultured bacterium. Its description in RNAcentral is "partial 16S ribosomal RNA". It matches the Rfam family "Bacterial small subunit ribosomal RNA", at positions 28 to 526 of the family's 1533-position model. The record is from RNAcentral.